AUUGAGUACUUGUAUCAGGCAACAGGUGUUGCGAAAACUGUAAACCAAUAGCAACUGAGCAUUGUUUCUGGAUGUUGGAUUCAGUAGAAAAUUAUAGUUUAAGGUAAGAGUUUUCUCAGAAAAUGCCAGCUUGUCUAUAGAGGACACAGCAUUGCACUAUUAAAGGCAUUCACAUCACCCAGUAUGAUGACGCAAACGCUCUAUGUGAUAGGAGAUGCACACUGAACUUCUGAAAAAAGUCAUCAGAUUUGGGGGUAUAGCUCAGUGGUAGAGCAUUUGACUGCAGAUCAAGAGGUCCCCAGUUCAAAUCUGGGUGCCCCCUCUUUAAAUAACUUCUU
Long non-coding RNA from Gasterosteus aculeatus aculeatus (three-spined stickleback), 338 nucleotides. The record is from Ensembl. NCBI's taxonomy places the organism in Eukaryota, Metazoa, Chordata, Actinopteri, Perciformes, Gasterosteidae.